RNAcentral lists this ribosomal RNA (254 nucleotides) under uncultured bacterium. RNAcentral describes it as "partial 16S ribosomal RNA". It matches the Rfam family "Bacterial small subunit ribosomal RNA", at positions 524 to 776 of the family's 1533-position model. The record is from RNAcentral.
GACAGAGGCCCCGAGCGUUAGGCGGAAUCACUGGGCUUAAAGCGUGUGUAGGCGGACCCCUAAGUGUCUUGUGAAAUCCCACGGCUCACCCGUGGAACCGCUGGGCAUACUGGGGGUCUUGGGCCGUUCAGGGGCGACUGGAACAAGCGGUGGAGCGGUGAAAUGCGUAGAUAUCGAGAGGAACACCUGCGGCGAAGGCGGGUUGCUGGGCUGACACUGACGCUGACAGCGCGAAAGCUAGGGGAGCGAACGGG